GUGCUCGCUUUGGCAGCACAUAUAUUAAAGUUGGAACUAUACAGGGAUGAUUAUCAUGGACACUGUGCAAGGAUGACACGCAAAUUCGUGAAGAAAUUGCUCCUGGC
Small nuclear RNA from Suncus etruscus (white-toothed pygmy shrew), 107 nucleotides. Lineage: Eukaryota; Metazoa; Chordata; Mammalia; Eulipotyphla; Soricidae. The record is from RefSeq and is a predicted model, not a curated record.